GUGAGUGUAGCUCAGUUGGUUAGAGCAUCUGACUGUGGCUCAGAGGGUCGCGGGUUCGAUUCCCGUCAUUCACCCCA
Molecule: transfer RNA, 77 nt
Filed under: Nitrospirota bacterium
Lineage: Bacteria; Pseudomonadati; Nitrospirota
Description: Nitrospirae bacterium (marine metagenome) tRNA-His
Rfam family: tRNA
About the family: Transfer RNA (tRNA) molecules are approximately 80 nucleotides in length.
Source: RNAcentral